CGGCACGUAGCGCAGCCUGGUAGCGCACCGUCAUGGGGUGUCGGGGGUCGGAGGUUCAAAUCCUCUCGUGCUGACCA
RNAcentral lists this transfer RNA (77 nucleotides) under Escherichia coli. RNAcentral's name for it is "tRNA-Pro". It matches the Rfam family "tRNA". Rfam says of the family: Transfer RNA (tRNA) molecules are approximately 80 nucleotides in length. Their secondary structure includes four short double-helical elements and three loops (D, anti-codon, and T loops). Further hydrogen bonds mediate the characteristic L-shaped molecular structure. tRNAs have two regions of fundamental functional importance: the anti-codon, which is responsible for specific mRNA codon recognition, and the 3' end, to which the tRNAs corresponding amino acid is attached (by aminoacyl-tRNA synthetases). tRNAs cope with the degeneracy of the genetic code in two manners: having more than one tRNA (with a specific anti-codon) for a particular amino acid; and 'wobble' base-pairing, i.e. permitting non-standard base-pairing at the 3rd anti-codon position. The record is from RNAcentral. RNAcentral also lists the same sequence under 1 other name. Lineage: Bacteria; Pseudomonadati; Pseudomonadota; Gammaproteobacteria; Enterobacterales; Enterobacteriaceae.